RNAcentral lists this ribosomal RNA (1831 nucleotides) under Clostridium novyi B str. NCTC 9691. RNAcentral's name for it is "bacterial LSU rRNA". It matches the Rfam family "Bacterial large subunit ribosomal RNA", at positions 1 to 1853 of the family's 2925-position model. Lineage: Bacteria; Bacillati; Bacillota; Clostridia; Eubacteriales; Clostridiaceae. The record is from RNAcentral.
GAUCAAGCUACAAAGGGCGCACGGUGAAUGCCCUGGCACUAGGAGCCGAUGAAGGACGUGAUAAGCUGCGAUAAGCUACAUGUAGGCGCACAUAGCCUGUGAUAUGUAGAUUUCCGAAUGGGGAAACCCAUCUAGUUAUGCUAGAUACUGUAUACUGAAUACAUAGGUAUAUGGAGGUACACCUGGGGAACUGAAACAUCUAAGUACCCAGAGGAAGAGAAAGAAAAUUCGAUUCCCUAAGUAGCGGCGAGCGAAAGGGGAAGAGCCCAAACCAGGAACUUGUUCCUGGGGUUGCGGAUAGAUCAUAACGCUUUGAUUUCUUUAGUUGAAGAGAACUGGAAAGUUCCGUCGUAGAAGGUAAUAACCCUGUAGGCGAAAAGGAAAGAAAAGUAGAUCUACUCCAGAGUACCACGAGACACGUGAAACCUUGUGGGAAGCUGGGAGGACCAUCUCCCAAGGCUAAAUACUACCUAGUGACCGAUAGUGAAGCAGUACCGUGAGGGAAAGGUGAAAAGAACCCCGGAAGGGGAGUGAAAUAGAACUGAAACCGUGUGCCUACAAUCGGUCGGAGCACAUUAAAGUGUGACGGCGUACUUUUUGUAGAACGGGCCAGCGAGUUACGAUAUAUAGCAAGGUUAAGCACUUAUGGUGUGGAGCCGAAGGGAAACCGAGUCUGAAUAGGGCAACUAGUUGUAUAUUGUAGACCCGAAACCGGGUGACCUAUCCAUGGCCAGGAUGAAGCGGAAGUAAAAUUCCGUGGAGGUCCGAACCACGUUGGUGUUGAAAAACCAUGGGAUGAGCUGUGGAUAGCGGAGAAAUUCCAAUCGAACUCGGAGAUAGCUGGUUCUCCUCGAAAUAGCUUUAGGGCUAGCGUCGGGUAAUUGAGUAGUGGAGGUAGAGCACUGAAUGGGCUAGGGGCUGACAACAGUUACUGAACCCUAUCAAACUCCGAAUGCCAUAUACUUGUAUCCCGGCAGUCAGACUACGAAUGAUAAGAUCCGUGGUCAAAAGGGAAACAGCCCAGACCAUCAGCUAAGGUCCCAAAGUGUAAGUUAAGUGGGAAAGGAUGUGGGAUUUCUAAGACAACUAGGAUGUUGGCUUAGAAGCAGCCACUCAUUUAAAGAGUGCGUAAUAGCUCACUAGUCGAGAGAUCCUGCGCCGAAGAUGUAACGGGGCUCAAACUUACCACCGAAGCUAUGGAUGUGUACUUUGUACACGUGGUAGAGGAGCUUUCUGUACAGGUUGAAGUCAUACCGUAAGGAGUGGUGGACAGUACAGAAGUGAGAAUGCUGGCAUAAGUAGCGAAAAACAAGUGAGAAUCUUGUUGACCGAAUAUCUAAGGUUUCCUGGGGAAGGCUCGUCCUCCCAGGGUUAGUCGGGACCUAAGCCGAGGCCGAAAGGCGUAGGUGAUGGACAACUGGUUGAUAUUCCAGUACCACCAUAAUGCGUUUGACAAAUGGGAUGACGCAGGAGGAUAGGAUGUGCGCACUAUUGGAUGUGCGUCUAAGCACUUAGGGUGUUAAGUAGGCAAAUCCGCUUAACAUUAAGCCUGAGGUGUGAUGGGGAGCCUAUUUUGGCGAAGUAUCUGAUUCCACGCUGCCAAGAAAAGUCUCUAUGGAGCAAAGUGGUGCCCGUACCGCAAACCGACACAGGUAGAUGAGGAGAGAAUCCUAAGGUCGUCGGAAGAAUUAUUGCUAAGGAACUCGGCAAAUUGACCCCGUAACUUAGGGAGAAGGGGUGCCUACGAGAGUAGGCCGGAGUGAAUAGGCUCAAGCAACUGUUUAUCAAAAACCCAGGUCUCUGCUAAAGCGUAAGCUGAUGUAUAGGGGCU